RNAcentral lists this ribosomal RNA (460 nucleotides) under uncultured bacterium. RNAcentral describes it as "partial 16S ribosomal RNA". It matches the Rfam family "Bacterial small subunit ribosomal RNA", at positions 338 to 795 of the family's 1533-position model. The record is from RNAcentral.
CCUACGGGAGGCAGCAGUGAGGAAUAUUGGUCAAUGGACGAAAGUCUGAACCAGCCAAGUAGCGUGAAGGAUGACUGCCCUAUGGGUUGUAAACUUCUUUUAUAUGGGAAUAAAAUGUUCCACGUGUGGCAUUUUGUAUAUACCAUAUGAAUAAGGAUCGGCUAACUUCGUGCCAGCAGCCGCGGUAAGACGGGGGAUCCGAGGGUUAUCCGGGUUUUUUGGGUUUACAGGGAGCGUAGGUGGAGUGUUAAGUCAGUUGUGAAAGGUUGCGGCUCAACCGUAGAAUUGCAGUUGAAACUGGCAGUCUUGAGUACAGUAGAGGUGUGCGGAAUGCGUGGUGUAGCGGUGAAAUGCUUAGAUAUCACGAAGAACUCCGAUUGCGAAGGCAGCUCACUGGACUGCAACUGACACUGAGGCUCGAAAGUGUGGGUAUCGAACAGGAUUAGAUACCCUAGUAGUC